GAUGAAAUAGACUCUGAAAUUAUAGGCCUGUAGCGAAUGGGAGCUCCACUUCGGUGGGGUGACCAUGUGCUUUUUGUAGAACGAGCCAACGAGUUAGCUGUAUCGGGCAAGGCUAAGGGAGUUAAAACCCGGAGCCGUAGCGAAAGCGAGUGCGAAUAGCGCGUUCUAGUGACUACUUUAUGACCGCCACUUUGUGUUUAGUAUUUUAUUUAAAAUUUAGUUUUAACCUGAAUUAUUAUGAGUUACAAAGAUUUAAAUGUUUAUCAACGGGCCUACAAAGUGGCCAUCGAUCUUCAUCACACGAUAGAAGAUCAACCCAAGCUGGUGCCUUCCAUGCGCCAGCCGCUCGAAACCCUCUCGCGAGGCGUUUUGGCCAACAUUGCGGAGUCGUUUGCACAACGCACCGUCAAGGCCAAGCGUUUCUUUAAUUUUAAAGCGCGAGACAUGAUCCGGGCGAUUCAAAUGGAUCUGGAUUUUUUGCACGAUCUUAAACUGAUUCCCCAAAAAGCGUACGAGCUUUUUUAUUCGGAAUACGAGAUCUGCAGCAAACAGCUUUACAAGCUGAACGAAUCCAUUUUAGAGAAUCAAGACUCUAAAAGAACGGAAAAAGUCGCGGUUGCGGCCUAAUCCGUAAAAAGGGUGGCGGUCAGAAAGUAGUCACUAGUCAGUCCGAUGCACUAUACCCGAAACCGAGUGAGCUAUCCAUGGGCAGGCUGAACCCGUCUUAACUGGCGGGGGAGGGCCGAACCAUAGAGUGUUGCAAGACUCUGGGAUGACCUGUGGAUAGAGGUGAAAUGCCAAUCGAACUCGGAGAUAGCUGGUUCUCCUCGAAAUAGCUUUAGGGCUAGCCUCGAGUAAUUGUUUAGCGGAGGUAGAGCACUGUCAAGGCUAGGGGGCGAAAUAAGUCUACCAAACCUUAAUAAACUUCGAAUACCGUUAAAUUUAUCUCGGGAGUCAGACGGUGACAGCCAAGUGCCAUCGUCACAAGGGAAACAGCCCAGAUCGUCUGCUAAGGUCCCCAAUAUAAGUUAAGUGGCAAAGGAUGUGAGAUUACUCAGACAACCAGGAGGUUGGCUUAGAAGCAGCCAUUCCUUUAAAGAGUGCGUAACAGCUCACUGGUCUAUUCCCGCUUCGGCGGGGUGAUCUUGCGCCGAAAAUUCAACGGGGCUCAAACUUAUAACCGAAGCAGCGGAUGUCAUUGAUUUUAUCAAUGACGUGGUAGAGGAGCGUUCCUGUCAGCAGUGAAGUCGCAUCGUAAGGUGCGGUGGAGCGGCAGGAAGUGAGAAUGUUGGCAUGAGUAACUUGAAUGCUGAUGAAAAAUCAGCACACCGAAAGCCCAAGGUUUCCCACGCAACGGUAAUCGGCGUGGGGUUAGUCGGUCCUAAGGCGAGGCGGAAACGCGUAGCCGAUGGACAACAGGUUAAUAUUCCUGUACCGGUUUUGAACCGACCAAGCGAACCAUGGCUGAAUGCCCGAUCCUUCUUUCGUAGACUUCGGUUUACGGAUGAAGUUUGGGACUAGGCCUGGCAAGCUAGCUAAGGAGGGACGCAGCAUGGUAGCGGGGGCCUACCCAUUGAACAUGGUAGGUGCAAGCGUUUAGGGGAGUUUCCGUAGGUAAAUCCGCGGAAACGUUAUACCUGAUACGCGACGCAAAAUGUCCGCCGCAAGGCGGAGGAUUCCCGUAAUCCAAGCUGCCUAGAAAAUCUUCUAGCGAGGUUCAGAGCCGACCGUACCGCAAACCAACGCAGGUGGGCAAGAAGAGUAUUCUAAGGUGAUCGAGAAAACUAGCGUUAAGGAACUUUGCAAUAUAGCGUCCGUAACUUCGGGAUAAGGACUGGUCGCCGCAAGGCGACCCGCAGCGAAAGACUCCAGGCGACUGUUUAUCAAAAACACAGGUCUCUGCUAAACCGUAAGGUGAAGUAUAGGGGCUGAUGCCUGCCCAGUGCCAGAAGGUCACGAGGAGGGGUUUACGCCCUGAAUCCAAGCCCUGGUGAACGGCGGCCGUAACUAUAACGGUCCUAAGGUAGCGAAAUUCCUUGUCGGGUAAGUUCCGACCCGCACGAAUGGUACAACGGUCUGGAGACUGUCUCAACGCUAGACUCGGUGAAAUUGCAGAAUCGGUAAAAAUGCCGAUCAACUACGGCAGGGCGAAAAGACCCUAUGAAGCUUUACUAUAAUUUGACAUUGAAUCGAGAUUUACUUUGUGUAGGAUAGGUGGGAGACUUUGAAGUCCUGGCGCUAGCCGGGAUGGAGUCAACGUUGAAAUACCACCCUGAGUUGAUUUUGAUUCUAACUUCUCCCGUCAUCCGGGAAGAGGACAGUGUUUGAUGGGUAGUUUAACUGGGGCGGUUGCCUCCUAAAAUGUAACGGAGGCGCGCAAUGGUCCGCUAGGUCUGGAUGGAAAUCAGACUGAUAGUGUAUUCGCAGAAGCGGGCUUGACUGUGAGGGUUACAACCCGAGCAGGUGCGAAAGCAGGCGAAAGUGAUCCGGCACCUUGAUCUGGAAUUUAUUUCGGGUCGACCACGUGGGUGGGGUGUCGCUCAACGGAUAAAAGUUACUCUAGGGAUAACAGGCUGAUCGAGCCCAAGCGCCCACAGCGACGGCUCGGUUUGGCACCUCGAUGUCGGCUCAUCGCAUCCUGGGGGUGGAGAAGCUCCCAAGGGUUUGGCUGUUCGCCAAUUAAAGCGGUACGUGAGCUGGGUUCAGAACGUCGUGAGACAGUUUGGCCUCUACCCGCCGUAGUCGUAGGAAAAUUGAGGGGAUUUGCUCCUAGUACGAGAGGACCGGAGUGAACAAACCUCUGGUGUACCAGUUGUCGCGUCAGCGGCAUUGCUGGGUAGCUAUGUUUGGUUGUGAUAACCGCUGAAAGCAUCUAAGCGGGAAGCCUCACCCAAGAUUAUUUUCCCCAUUAGGCCUGAAGGAGACUACUUCGUUGAUAGGCAUCAGGUAUAAACCCCGUAAGGGGCGCAGCCGAGAUGUACUAACAGGCCGAUAGACUUUUUAU
Molecule: ribosomal RNA, 3004 nt
Filed under: groundwater metagenome
Description: bacterial LSU rRNA
Rfam family: Bacterial large subunit ribosomal RNA
Source: RNAcentral